CCUACGGGAGGCAGCAGUGGGGAAUAUUGGGCAAUGGGCGCAAGCCUGACCCAGCAAUGCCGCGUGAAGGAAGAAGGCUUUCGGGUUGUAAACUUCUUUGACAGGGGAAGAGCAGAAGACGGUACCCUGAAAACAAGCCACGGCUAACUACGUGCCAGCAGCCGCGGUAAUACGUAGGUGGCAAGCGUUGUCCGGAUUUACUGGGUGUAAAGGGCGUGUAGCCGGGAAGGCAAGUCAGAUGUGAAAUCUGGAGGCUCAACCUCCAAAUUGAAUUUGAAACUGUUUUUCUUGAGUACUGGAGAGGAAGAAGGAAUUAAUUGUGUAGAGGUGAAAUGAGUAGAUAUAAGGAGGAAAACCAGUGGAGAAGGAGGUAUGAUGGAAAGAAAAUGAAGGUGAGGAGAGAAAGAGUGGGGAGAAAAAAGGAUUAGAUAAAAGAGUAGGC
This 442-nucleotide ribosomal RNA is filed under the name uncultured bacterium. RNAcentral describes it as "partial 16S ribosomal RNA". It matches the Rfam family "Bacterial small subunit ribosomal RNA", at positions 338 to 795 of the family's 1533-position model. The record is from RNAcentral.